Molecule: ribosomal RNA, 388 nt
Filed under: uncultured bacterium
Lineage: Bacteria
Description: bacterial SSU rRNA
Rfam family: Bacterial small subunit ribosomal RNA
Source: RNAcentral
GCAGCCAUGCCGCGUGAAUGAUGAAGGUCUUAGGAUUGUAAAAUUCUUUCACCGGGGACGAUAAUGACGGUACCCGGAGAAGAAGCCCCGGCUAACUUCGUGCCAGCAGCCGCGGUAAUACGAAGGGGGCUAGCGUUGCUCGGAAUUACUGGGCGUAAAGGGAGCGUAGGCGGAUAGUUUAGUCAGAGGUGAAAGCCCAGGGCUCAACCUUGGAAUUGCCUUUGAUACUGGCUAUCUUGAGUGUGGGAGAGGUAUGUGGAGCUCCGAGUGUAGAGGUGAAAUUCGUAGAUAUUCGGAAGAACACCAGUGGCGAAGGCGACAUACUGGCCCAUUACUGACGCUGAGGCUCGAAAGCGUGGGGAGCAAACAGGAUUAGAUACCCUGGUAA